This 633-nucleotide ribosomal RNA is filed under the name Triticum aestivum (bread wheat). Its description in RNAcentral is "partial small subunit ribosomal RNA". The record is from RNAcentral. Lineage: Eukaryota; Viridiplantae; Streptophyta; Magnoliopsida; Poales; Poaceae.
AUGUCCACGUCCGCGGCCUCGCAGGCCAAGGAUGCGGCGGCCAAGAUGGCGGAGGCGGCCAAGGGCGACGGGGAGAAGAAGGAGGUGGCGAUUACGUCAAGGACGCUCUUUGCUUGCUCUGCUCUGCUCUGGUUUCCCCAUUUCGAUUACGUCACCGGCGAGGGGUCGUCAGAUCGUAGCCAACCAUGGAAGAUGUUCGAGUGGCAGGGUGGCCCCAUCAUCCUCGCCCAGGUGGAGACGGGUACAUGGAGUAGGCGAUGGGCGGCGGCGCCAAGCCGUACGCCAACUAGGCCACCAAGAUGGUCGUCGCCACUGACGCCAGCUUGCCGUGGGUGGUGUGCAAGCAUGACGAUGCUCCCGACGCCGCGAUUCGUGAUGGCUGCAAAAAAAUACCUGCAAUGGCUUCUACUGCAACUACUUCGGCCCCAACUCCAACAGCAAGCCUACCAUGUGGACCGAGGCCUUGCCUGGAUGUUCACGACAUUUGGUGGCGCGGUGCCGCACCGGCUGGUGGAGGACAUGGCGUUCGUGGUGGUAAGGUUCAUUCAGAAGUGCGGGUCCUUCGUCAACUACUACAUGUACCAUGGACUGGACCGCCGAUGGCCUGUUCAUCGGGACAAGCUACGACCAUGA